This 12677-nucleotide long non-coding RNA is filed under the name Equus caballus (horse). RNAcentral describes it as "lncRNA (ENSECAG00000046492.1)". Lineage: Eukaryota; Metazoa; Chordata; Mammalia; Perissodactyla; Equidae. The record is from RNAcentral.
CAGAGAUAAAAGACAGGGGCUGUCUGCACAUGAGCAGCAACCCCGGAAAGUCUGGAGCGAUUGCAAACCUAAGAGCAAAUACCAGUCAGCAAAACAGUGCUGCUAUUAAGAACGCUAACACAGUGAUGCAGUAACAGGAGGGUGACAGGCCAAAACCAGGAAAAGGCACCCAAGAUGUUAACCACAUUCUUGGAUUCCUGGGCACCCUCCAGUUUCUGACCUUGUUCUCCUAAACUCCAGCCUGCAACUCUCUGUGAAAAUGCAAAUAGCAAAAUGGGGAUAAUGUGUACUGUGACAUGGAGUAACAGGGGAUGCAUUUCCUUCAGUGGUGUCUUCACUUGGAGAAGCCUCAAUGCCGUCAAGAAGAGGAUGCCCACCAGGUUUAUUCCCAGCAUAACAACCUGAGCUUGAAUGAUUUACCUCAUGGUGUUUAUUUGCAAAAAGAGCCUUCUUUUUGGCUAGUUUGCCACUAGUGGGCAGAGCAUUCAGCUAAGAUGCUUUGGUGAUAGUUGUUUAGCAUGUAUAGAUAUAAAUGGUUGCUUCUGACUAUAGCCACAAUCGUUUGUCCAAUCAAAUAUUCUUAGGGCAAUAGAACAGGUUUAAUACAUCAUAAGGAAAAAACCACAAUAAAUAUACAUUUUUUUAAAAAGCACACACAUACACACACAAGGCCACUUGCUUCAUAAGGGAGCUGUGCAACUGGCAGGAGCUUUGAGGCUUGUAGUUAUUUAAGAAGGAAUUGAGAUCAAGCCUUGGAAUACAGGCAGCAUUUCAGUAGAUGGAUAUGGGAGGCAAAGGCAUUGGGAUAAGUGCCAGGGGUGUGUGCUCACAGGCAACAUCUAGUGUCAAUAGAUACAAAUAUAUCCAAACUCAUUUUCAGCUCUUAUAUUUUCAUCUUAAAAAACAAACACUACUAAAAAUAUUUAAUUGUUAUAGCAGAAAAAGUAUCUCCAACAUGUGAUACAGAGGCACUUUCUUAGGUCACCGAAAAUCACUUGGUAAACUAUUGAUGAAUGGCUUGAAAGCAUUAAUACUGUUUCUUAUAUAUGCUUAAUAAAUCCAAAGACAGUAAUGUAUUCAAUGAAACAGCAAGUUGCUCUGAUUAAAAAAAAAAAAAAAGCAGUCUCUCCUUUCCCAGAUGCAAGAUCAUUUUGGUGAUCACGUCCAUCAGGCAACCACUGAAGUCCUGGGUGAGUCUCUGAGGAGUUCCUGACCAUUAGGAAAUUCUUGAGCAGUGGGAGAGAGAUGGGCCUGCAGUGGCCAACAGCCUGUGGAAACAUUUACAAAAGCAUUCAGCAGUCUCUAAUGACCAGAAAGCAACUGGAUAUUCCACUGCAACAAUGAAAAGAAACAUUUCAAUUUGGAUUUGUUUGCUUGUGAAACAAAUGUUUACAACGGAAACCUCUGUUUGGGUUGUUACCACGCGCUCAAACAAAGUAUGUAUUUACUGAAGAAUCAAGUACAGCUUCUCAUUGUAAGGAUUGCCUCUUUGGGGACAGGCUAUAUCAUAAGGAUAAUGUGCUGGAUAACAAAAAAGAAACAGAACUACAAGACUUUAAGGCAACAGGCAAUAUGUGCAACACUUACCGGCUCUGCAAAAGUGGCUUUCCCAGGAAGUACGUAUUAGUUAGGAUAAAAAAACUCCAGGCCAGUAACAUAGAAACCAAGAAUAUGGUGGCUUAAACAAGACAGAGGUUUAUUUCCAUCUCUUGUUACAAUUUAGGUGUAAGCAGUCCAGACUAUGGUGUCAGGAACCAGGCUCACUCAGUUUUAGCUGUAGCAUCCACAGCAUUUGGCUUCCAAAGUGUGGUCCAUGGUGGCUGCUCUGGCUACAGACAUCAUGUCUGCCUUCAAGCCAAUGGAAAAGAAAGGAGAGUCGAGGGAGGGAUUGCUUUUGCCCUUUAGAGCAGUGGUUCCCAACUGAGGGCAAUUUUGCUCCUCCCCGAGAAGAAGAUUUUUUGUCACAACUUGGUGGUGGGGGAGGGAGGUGGUAGCAGCACUAUUGACAUCUAGUAGAUAGAUGUCAGAGAUGCUGCUAAACACCUACUACGGACAAGACACGCCCCCAUAUGAUGAAUUAUCUGGCCUAACAUGUCAGUAUUGCUAAAUUUGAGAAAUCUUGCGUCAAACCGAAAGCUUCUUGUUGACAUAUAUUUGCAGGACACAGAAGCUGGCUGAGGACUGUUUCCACUACACUCCAGCUGCAUUCUGAGGGAAUUGCCUGGCAUAAAUGAGCAUAAUCUUUGGCAGAGACUGCCAGUGGUCUCCAGUGUCUGUUCUCUUCUUGUAUAUUAAUAGAACUUCAACCUGGGCCAGCUAAAAGAUUUCCAGCUUUUCCCCAAUUGUAGCAACCAAAAAUGUCUCCAAACAUUGCCAAAUAUCCCCUAUGAUAUUUUAUUAGGAAAUAUUUCUCAGUUUGAUGUCCUUGGGCAAGUCAACUAAACCUUUGGAAUCUCAGUUUCCUCAAAACUAAUCAUAUGGGUAAAACUUUUCUCUGUAAACGACUGUGGUAGGCAGAAUUUUAAGAUGUCCUUCAAGAUUCCCACCCCGGGGUGUAUACACACCUUCUCCCUGAUAUUCAAUCAAACACUAAGAUAUGUGCUGCUGCAAUGGAACUUUUCAGAUGUAACUGAGGUCCCAAAUCAGUUGACUAAGAAAAGGAAAUUGUGCUCCUUGCACCUGAUCUAGUUAGGUGAGCACAUAAAUGGAAUGGGGCUCUUCCUGGCAAAAGAGAUUCAUUCAAAGUGUGAGAGGGAUUCAAUGCAAAGGACAUUCUCCACCACUGGCUUUGAAGAUAAAGGGGACCAUGUGUCAAGAAUGUGAUGGCCUCUAGAAGUUAAGAGUGGCUCUAGGCAGACAGCCAGCAAAGAAAUGGAGAUUGUAGUCCUAUAGGAAUAAAUUCUGCCACAAUCACAUGAGGUGGAAAGAGAACGUUGAACUUCAGAUGAGGACACAGGCCAUUUGACACCUUUGCUUUUCUUUCGUAAGACUCUGAAUAGACAACCCAGCCACUCCAUGUCCAGACUUUUGACCUACAAAACUGUGAGCUAAUAAAUAGUAUUGUUUUAAGCUGCUAAAUUUGUGGGAAUUGGUUAUACAGCAAUAGAAAUCUAACAGAGUUAUUGCAAAGAUUGAUUGCAGUAAUGGUAGUUAUCCUUUAGCGAAUGCUAUUAUGUUACAGAAAACUAGCUAGGCAUUUUAACAGAAUUAUUUAUCCUUUCAAUAACUAUUGCAAGAUAGGCAUUAUUUCCCCCAUUUUACAAUUGUAGAAAUGAAGGCUUAUAGAAGUUUCUUAAUUUGCUUAAUAUACCACAGCAAAGAACUGAAAUUUAAAUGCCAGCGUCCAUAUCCUUUUCUCAUUGUCUAACUUUGUUAAAUAUAAAGUAUUAGAAAAAAGAGGCAUCCUAAUUUUAUUCAUUUUGCUAUGCAUACACCAUGACUAGUGAACAUUUUGAGAGACAGUAGACACACAAACAUCAAACACUGUGCAAUUACACACAUGUUGAGGUUUAGUUCUGGAGUCCACGAUAGUGGCUAAUCUAAGACAAGUCUUAGUUUUCAGCUUAAUGACACCUCUAUCUAUUUGUUUGACGUCUUUUUCCCUUUAAGUUGCAUUCAGCCAGCAGUGGGAGCUUUGAAACCCAAACAUUCUCUGUCGUCAUUUUUCAAAGAAUAUUUGAGCCAUUUCUGGACUUGUUGUACAUCAAGGAAAGGAAUGCCAGAAGCCACAUAUCUAAAUGUUUACUUAAAAUAAUAGUAAUUUUGAUAACUGUCACUUAGGAGCAUUUAUCAUGUGUCAGGCCCAGGGCUAAGUUCAGAGUGUUGGACCAUCCUCAGAGAAUCCUGUGAUGUAAACAGCAUUACUACGCUAAGCUUACAGGAGAGAAAAUGGCCUCAAAUAUCUUCAGCACCUUGCACAGGCAAACUUGCAAGGAGGUAGCCCAGACAAAAUCAAAUCCAUGAUCUGUUAGACUCUGUGCCUCUUACCUCCCAGUAGAUAUUGUUGUUAAUCGUGGAAUCUCACAAGCGUCCUCCAAAUCUGCCACUGGAAUGAAGAGGCUUUCUCAGGGUGUCCCCAGACGAGUCUGAACCCUAAACAUGGUGCCUGGUAUUUACUAUAUCUUGAUUCUGGUUUUAGAUACCAUCUACAUACACAUCUCCUGUGUAUGCAUGUGGUUCUCCAGUAGAACUCAUUUGGAGUGCUGCUUCUGGUUUACCUAUGCCAUAAGGAGCCUUAUGGCUGGAGUGCAUCUGAUGGUGAUGACUUUUGUUGCUUUACUCAUGUUCUUUCAUCCAAAUCCUUAAAGGGUACGGCACUUCAAUACAGCUGGUGAAGAUUAGGGUAUAUUGUAAGGCAGAAAGCUGAAAACAGAUUUCUCCAAGCCAUCUGUAAUGGCUAUGCAGCUGUGGUGCCCGCACACAUCUGGAGAGCUGCUGUAAAAUAAGAGUCUAACAUUUGGCAAAGGUACCCGAUGGCCUUGUUAUCAAAUGUGAAUAGAGGCAGAGUCAAGUUUAAGACUAGGAAGGGGACAGCCAUAACAAUAACAAAAUACGCAGAAAGGUAAAAGAGCAACUGAUAGAUAACAACACAUUACAAAAGGAGAAAAGUGUAUGGGGAAGAUGGUGAGAUAGCAGGAUAAGCGUCUUUGAAAAUGCUAAAGAGAGAGAUUCAAAAAUGCCUUGAUUGUCACAGUAAUUAGAAACUAUUGGAAUUGUGCUUAGUUAAAUCUGGUUAAUUUGCGAGACUUGGCAGAAGAACUGGUGUUAAAGGUUGCCACAGAUGACAUUUGGUGUGAUGUGUCCUGGGGGCGCUCCAUCAUUACUGAUUGAGUAAAUGACAUUAACAAAAGAGAUGGACAAGCCUGUCUCCACUCAUUUCAUGGAAUACCAUUGCCUUUUAAGGGAUCCUGCCAACCUCAGCUUUUCUUCAACUGAAAAAAAGAAAAAAUGGUGCUGGAAGUAGCUUUAAGAAGAAUUGAGUCAUUAAGAUGGUGCAAACAGAUUCCUUUUCUGAAAGCAUGGCUACCCUGUGGUCAAUUCCCCCUUGGUGCUCUGUAAUAGAUUCUCCCACAGCCUUUGAAUCUUCCAAGAAGUUUCAGCAAAUGAUUGAUAAUAGGAUCUGCCCCUAGAAAGGAGGCAGAUUUCAGAGCUGCGAGAGAAAGCCCAUUGAAUGGCAGGAUAAAUGUAGGAGGAGAACGGAGAGGCCUCACCAUAGUGGGAAGCUCGGUUUCGCUCUAAGUCGUUGGCAUAGAGCUCAAUUUGGGGUCUUGAUGCUCCUUUUAGUUUUAAAGUAGGAAUCUCACAGUCAUUCUUUUUUCAGGUUGAGUUGACAUCGAGAAAGCAAGCUGCUCUACUUGGAGCCAAACCAGACAGCCUGCCCAUUCUGCUAAUUGGAUUUGGGGAUCUGUGUUGAGGUAGCUUGAGCUGGAAGUUUAUUCACCUCUGCUCAGAUGCCAAAUCCAUUGGUCCAGAAGUACAUAGAAUCUAAAAAAAUUAAUUAGCAAAAUGGCUAUGUCAUGGACAUUUCCAAAAUGUAUAUCUUGUGGUUGGUCUCAGUUGGGGACUCUUUUAUUUUUAACUGAUCAAUUAAACUUGUCUAGCUACAUGAAUUGUUCUAAUUACUGAGUUUUCCCAGAAUUAAAUACUCUAAGCUAAAUCAACUAACAUUUAGCAAACGGGAGCUCCUUCUUCUGCUUCUCUCCCUAAGAGCCCUCUAUAGAAUUAACAGUUAGGUGCUAAUUGCAGAUGAUUAAGUGCUCACCAGUGUUGGAGUCCUUUCUUUAAUAUUAAUGAGAUGGAUUAGCAUGGAACAUGUCUUCUAUUAAUAUUAUAAAUGGAAGCCUGCAUGGAUCACUGAGUGCUCUUUUGUAUCAUAAGGAGCAUUUGGUUUAAAGGAAUAAAGAAAGUACGCUCCUAAACUGUAUCUUCCUUUCAAUUGCGAAAUAAAGUUACUGAGGGAAAUGUUUCAAUAUCAUUCAUUUAGAGCAACCAUGUAGCAUUUUUGCAAUAACCAGAGUUGCAAACUUUUACAUAAAACUUCUUUCAGCUGUCUCCUUGAGUAGGCAUAGCACAUUAAACCAGAGUAGAGUUUAAAUUAUUCCAUAAAGUAUGAUCCAGAAAGACCCACCUUUCUAUACUACUAAAAGAAAUUACUUGACAGUUCAGCACUAUUUUCACAAACCUGAAUUCUCUUCCAAGACAACUUGCUUAUUUAAAAAAACGUUAAUUGAUUUCCUUUACCCAUUUGAAAACAGCAAACUGACUGCUUUUUCUUUUUGUUGAGGAACAGAUAGUUAAUAAUCACUUCUUCCUUCUUACUUUUCCUAAGAAGAUGCUUAUGAAAGAGUGAGACUUAUACUUCAUACGUUGCUGUCAGAAUCCACCUCAAUGAGCUAGAGCAACAUCGUCUCUAAGUUGUAGGAAGAGCAUUGUUCCACUUUAUUUCUUAUUCGUUAAAACUAUGGUUCAUUUUGACAAGUGCUAUUUGAAUGGUACCAUAAAAGACACAGAAAUGCAAAACAUUUCUUUUAAAUCCCGGUAUGAUCUAAAAAUUAUCAUUUUAUCUCUUUUGUCGCUUGCAAGCAUUUGCAAAUGAGAACAUAAAAGCUUAUGCAUCCAAACUAAAUCCAAAUCUGUGUUAAUGCAGAGUACACCACGUUUUGAUUAAGGACUUGACCCUCUGAGUCAAACUUCUAGUUUUGUCCUUACUCUUUGAACUUAAAACUAUGUACACAUUUACCAUUUGUCCUAGGUAAACCUGCUUAGAACUAAAUAAUACUGAGUGACUGCUUAUAAUGCAUAGUAAUAGAGCUGAUAUUUGUGUUUAAAAUUUUAUAUGUUACAAGUCAUAUUGAGUAAUAGAGGAUUUCUCAGGUCACAGAAAAAUGGAAACAUAUAGCUACCACCUUACAUUUGACCUGGCAUAUGUUUGGUUUAAUCCAGAAUAUGCAUUAUAUGUUGGUCAAUUAUAUUUCUUUACAAAGAGAUUCAGAUGUUGCUGUGACUUUUUAAUUAUCUCAAACGUUAUCUAUGUAAAAUCAUAAUUUAUAGUAACUGAUACAUUAUCUAGCAAAAAAAUUUCCUUAAAAUAUCUGGUCUUCUGAGAUAUUUACAAUUAUUCUUACAAAUGCUAAGAUAUGCAAUCUGCAAAAUGAAUUCUUGAAAAUUGUGGUAGGUAGAAUUCUGAGAUAAUCUCCAAGAUAGAAGCUCCUUGGUGUGCACACCCUCUAUAAUUUCCUCCCCUUGAGUGUGAACAGGACCAGUGAAUAUAAUGAGAUACCACUCUCAGGAUUAGGUUAUUUAUCAGUUGAUCUGGAGUCAAUCAAGAAAACUAUCUUGAGUGGUCUUGACCUAACCAGAUGAGCCCUUUAACAUAAAGUGAAGUGUCAAAGAUUCUUUCCUGCUGACCCAGAAGAAAGCAAACAGUUGUGUUGUGAAGGAAGGGACCAUGAAGCGAGCAGCUAAGGAUGGCCUCUGGGAACUGAGAGUGGUCCUCAGCAGACAGCUAGCAAGGAAAUGGAGCCUCAGUUAUACAGCCAGAGGGAAAUGAAUUCCACCAACGACCUGUGAAUUUGGAAGAGGACCCCGAGCCUCAGAUGAGGUCACAGCCUUGUUCACACCUUGAAUUAAAACUGUGAGACCCUCAGCAAAAGACCCAACUAACUCAUGCCUGGACUCCUGACCCACAGAAAAUAUGAAAUAGUAAAUUUGUGUUGUUUUGAGCCAUGGAAGUUUAUGGCAAUUUGUUAGCAGCAAUAGAAAACUAAUACCAAUAGGAAUAUGGUUUGAUCCAGGCAGAAUAAAUUUAACUGAGAACACUCACUCUUCUCAUUUAAUGAAAUCUGGCUGAAGGUUUACAACAGCCCACAAAAUUUGGUAUCAUUCACGGCAAAUGAAAAAAGUUUUGGAGCCCCAAGUAAUAUUGUUAGUUAAAAGGAAAGCAAGAGUUUUGUAAUUUUGUCUCCUUCUCUUCUUCAGAUAGAUGCUGUUAUCAUUGACAAUGACACUGCCAAUCAUUCUUGUGUUGCAAGAAAUUGGCUAGGCAUAUCUUAGAAUUCUCUUCACUGCUCACAGGUUUCAGACUCAUAAGAGAUGAUAAACUUCUAUGGGAGCCUCGGCCCUUCUUGACAGUAGAUUCUGUUCUCAAAGCCUUGGACAAAGGAUUAUAAUUAAUUGUGGCAAUGCUUGCGUUACCCUCUCCAUGAACUCACCAUUCCCUGUGUGUCACCUUCUGAGUGUCAACAGCAGACAGCAUUGAAUGAGUCUCAGACAAAAAUUCUGAACAUCAGUGAUAUUUCUUCCUGCUUCCCCUGGUUUGGAGAGUUCUGCUUGGCAAGACAUUAAAUCAUGUGGAUAUCUGCCUUUGACAACUCUUGGGAAUCCAGAGCUGAGAAUCAUUUUACAUAGCGUAAAAUUCACUGGAGUCUGUCGAAUCGUGAGCCAAUAUUUGGAGGGAAUGGCUAACAAGUGUCUGCCAUUUUCUUUUUUCUUCUUCUCUGUCAGAGGAUUCAGAAUUUCCAAGUUGGGGUCAGAAUAAAAUAUGUGAUAAAAGCAAGAGCUAUCCAGCGUAGGAUCUUUGCUGUGCAUCCUAAUAAUGCAAUAGUUGUUGGGGCUGGCCCCGUGGCCGAGUGGUUAAGUUCGCGCGCUCCGCUGCAGGCGGCCCAGUGUUUCGUUGGUUCGAAUCCUGGAAUCCUGGGCGCGGACAUGGCACUGCUCAUCACACCACGCUGAGGCAGAGUCCCACAUGCCACAACUAGAAGGACCCACAAGGAAGAAUAUACAACUAUGUACUGGGGGGCUUUGGGGAGAAAAAGGAAAAAAAAUAAAAUCUUUAAAAAAAAAAAAAUAAUGCAAUAGUUGUUGCAGAUCAACAAUGAAAACACAGCCACAGCACAUACACACACACACUCAGUUUUGAGGACACAUAGACUCCUGCUGAAGAAUUCUUAUAAUUGAUAUUAUUUCUUCUCUUCUAGACUGUCAUAUUAUUCUGCCGAGAGAAGAGCUACAGCAGAGGCUGUAAGAGAAAACUAUCCCCAAUCUAUUUCCAUAGUAAACCACCUUUAUAUUAUUUCUGAGAACACCCCUGAGAAUACACUUUUGUGGCUGUAGCCUAGUUACAAGGCUGGGUCAGCAUUAAGUCAUUACUAGUGAAUCUGAUUUUUUCUUUCUCUGCUGAGAAGACAAACAGUAGUACUGGCCAGACGUUCUUUAACACCAUAAAUGUUUAUCACACACUUAACUACUAAUUCUAUAGUCGGUUGUUGACUCAUAAGCAACAUGAAUAAUCUCAAUACAGUAAACUGACAACAACUGGGCUCAUUUCAUUCAGUCAUCUUUCCUUAUUUUAAACCAAAAUGUCCACAAGGCAUAUUUUCCCCCAUAAGCCUAAAUCUGAAAAAUUAAAAUGGUAUAUCAUGUUCAGUGUUGUUCUUUAAAGAUCCCUAGAAUAAAAGGCUCGAGUUUGAGGAGCAGAUCCAAAUCUUCUUGGCAGCUUGAACUUUCUAAACUCCAGUGGCCUUAUCUUUAAAAAAAAAAAUGAAUUAAAAUAAAAGAAUCCUUGUAGUGUGUUUUCUAUCUCAUAAAGUGGUUGAAGGAAUCAAACGAUAGAUGCCAUGCCUGCUAGUUACCUGUUUGCUUUCUGAUUCUGUCUCUGCUCUUUACUUGCUCCUGUUUUGCAGGAAACUGCAAAUUCCAUGCUCUCAUGCUUUCUGACUUCUGCAUAGUUUCAUCCAAGGGGAAGCAGUUUUACAGAAUUCAGUGAUGUGAGUUACUGAAGGGCCUGAGUAUUGCUCCUCUGUUCUCUCUUUUUUAAGUAACACGUCUGGCUGGGGCUCCUCCGUGGUUCCAACCUGCAUCAGCCAGCCAUUUCCUCCACGGUCUCAACUCUGGCAAGACACUUCCCGUUGGUUUUGCAUUCUUGCUAGAUGGUCCCUCUUCUUGGCUCUGGUCUUACCACAUUAUGCUGUUGUCCCUCUAGCCCCAGGGGUAGCAGCUCCCAGUUUUUGCCCAUCUCUUAGUUGCCUCACCAUCUCUUACAUGGCUCCUCAUUUCUCCUAUUAGCUAUGUACCCAAUUCACUGUAUUAAAUUCCUCCACUGUAAAAGACCAAGAUUAGUUUCUGUUUCCUGGCUGGACCUGGACUGAUACUGAUGAAAAAAUAUGUUAAAGAUUAUGAGUGUUCUGUAAAUGUAGAGUAUUAGUACCAUAGUCAUCUUAAUGAUUGUCAUAUGUUCCAAAGGUGAUAUAUUUAGUAAAUCUGCCAUUUUGGCACUCUCCCAUUAUUAUCUCCCUUCAUGGGCAUGGGUAAUCAAUUAUCUAUGUUAUGAAUAUAUCCAUGAAAUUAUAUGUAGAGGGAUGGAAUAUUAUGUUUUGUUUCUGUUUUAUAUAUAUGUAUCUCUAUUAAUGGAAAAAUGCAGAAUUAGAAUGGGAGUAUUUCGGAAUGUGUUUGGAUGUCACUUCAAAUUUAUUUCAGUGUGGAGCAGAGGGAAUGGUGGCAAUUUCCUUUUAGCUACCUUUCCUAUUUCAUCUCCUGACUUUUGUUAAAGAAUGUAUCAAUCCUCAGGGAGAGACUUAUAAAAGCAAACAAAAGAAAGCAUUAGAAAGAAAUACUGAAAUGGCUUAUUUUGUCCAGAAGCAAACUUCUGACAACGUUCUAUGACUUACCCAUGUACCAUCAUCUAUCAUCUAUUUACCUACUUACUUGGAGAAGUCAGAAGUUAACUGCUUGUCAUGGGCAUGAAUAUUAACAUAUUUAUUUGUAUUGAAAAAUAAAGUCAAAUUGUUGUGCUGGAAAUUAAAUCUGGCUUGACUGAUUGGUUUGAAAAUGAAUACUGGCUCUAAUUCAUGCCAAUCAGGUCAUAUGGUGGGCAUUUUCCAUAAGCUGAAUGAACUAAAUCGAGAGCUCCCAGCUUUUUGAUGAAAUUGUAUUUAAAGCAGGUGACAACAUAAAAGUAUUUUAAAAGUUUUUUCUAACUUUGUAUUUAUCAGUUUAAGCAAGUUGCCUCUAAGUGGAAGAAACACAGGUCUAAUUAACAGUUUUUUAACAAGUCUUGGUAAAGUCUUUCCUGCAACAGAGAAAGUAAAAGAUUCUAAUGACAGAAUGGCAUGCAUUUAUUGACUCAUUUGUUGCAUUCUACAAAAUUGAAGACCUAAUUGAAUUGUCAGCUGAUAGAUUAUUAAAACUGAUGAUAGAUCACAAUGUGAUUUUUUUAUAUGGACCUCAGAAAAUAUUUGAAGAAUUGAAUAGUGUUGCCAUGACAAAACUUCUUCUAUUGACAUCUCUUUGUUUAUAGGAACAAAUUUUCUCAGCAGAUACAUUUUUAAAGCAAACAGAUAAUAGGAAUAAAAUUGUUAAUGACUUCACUAACAUUUUACCAAUAAGUUGUAUUUUUUAUGAUACAUGAACUUAUUAAAAAUGACAAUGUACCAAUUUCAUUAAUAAAUUAUUUCUAAUAAAGUUUUUUUGUGCUUGAAAAAUAGUUAUCAAAAUAUUGUUUUAUCAACUGUACAAUCUUAAGUCAAAGAGAUUAUGUAAUAUUAAGUCAAAGUUAGAGUCAAAGGAAAUUUAAUAGAAAUAAAAAUUUCAAUUUAUAUUCAUAUUUUUGUGACAGGGAAAACAAGCAUAAAAAAUGUUACAUUAAUUGGGGCUGUCCCCGUGGCCCAGUGGUUAAGUUCGUGCGCUCCGCUGCAGGCGGCCCAGUGUUUCGAAUCCUGGGCGUGGACCUGACACUGCUCAUCAAACCACGCUGAGGCAGCGUCCCACAUGCCACAACUGGAAGGCCCACAAUGAAGAAUAUACAACUAUGUACUGGAGGGCUUUGGGGAGAAAAAGGAAAAAAGUAAAAUCUUUAAAAAAAGAAAUGUUACAUUAAGAUAUGAUUUUGCGUGGUAACUGAAAUGGAAACAUGAAUCUAAGAUGUGAAAGAAAUAAAAUAAAAUUUCUGACUUAGAGGAAAGCCUGCUUAUGUAACUUUAAAAAUAGAUUUGUUUGCUAUGAUAUUUAGGUACUUUUGGAUACUUUUUACAAAGUGGUCUAGCUGUUUCAUUUAAUAAAUGCUAAUUGUUACAAUAUAACAGAAAUUGUCUUCUUUGCAACCAAUUAAACAUGAUGAAAAGUCUUUUAGCCAAUAUGUAAGCAAACAUUUUUGAAGACCUACCACACUAUGCUCUUUCUUCCCUGAAAUGUGAUUGUACUUAUUCUGUUUACAUCUGUCCAAGCACAUUAAUGUAGCCCAUCUUGUAUUAACUAAUUUAUUCUUCUUCCUCUGUCUUAUCUCCAUCUGGAUCAGCUAUGGUGUCCAGCUCCAUGCUGGAUUCAUAGCACAAUGUGGACUCAAUAUAAUUUUCAUAUGAGAGUCAUCUGAAAAACAGAUAAUAAACUCAGAUACAGAAAUAUCUGCUGAUUUCUCACUGUUUUUCUCAUCUUCAGAGAGUGUCCUAUUUUUGGCCCUUCCCCCCCACUUCGCUGAUGACUUGAAUUUCCAUAGCCCUCUCACCACCUUUUACAAUCUCUUAAUCAUUCCUCUUUCAAAGCAUUUGAAUUUAGGUUUAGUAUUGGGUGACUACCAAGUGAAUCAUUUGGAUUGUGAAAAAUAACCCUAGAUCAAUUUAUUUUAUUUCUCCAGUACACUGUUUCAAGUCUCUUUUACUUCUUCCUUUAUGAGGGUAUUUCUCUGG